RNAcentral lists this transfer RNA (72 nucleotides) under Camelus bactrianus (Bactrian camel). It matches the Rfam family "tRNA". From Rfam's summary of the family: Transfer RNA (tRNA) molecules are approximately 80 nucleotides in length. Their secondary structure includes four short double-helical elements and three loops (D, anti-codon, and T loops). The record is from Rfam by way of RNAcentral. RNAcentral also lists the same sequence under 2 other names. Lineage: Eukaryota; Metazoa; Chordata; Mammalia; Artiodactyla; Camelidae.
GGGGAUAUAGCUCAGUGGUACAGUGCAUGCUUAGCAUGCACAAGGUCUUGGGUUUAAUCCCCAGUACUUCCA